GACAUUCAAAUAUAACAUGGUUUACCGUUUCCACCUGAGCACCACAUCGGGUGCAAACUUGGUCACAAUUUAUACCCCAAUUUUUCAAAUUAAAAUUAAAGUUUAUAGAAAAGAAAAUCACACGCGUCUGCGUGUUGGAAAACGCAUGAUUUACGUUUCCACCUAAACUAGUAAAAUUUAUUAUGAAAACAGUAAGUAUAUAUGGGUGAUUAUUUCCAUUGUAUUUUUUUCUUUUUUUUACAUAUACAAUUAUUAGCGGUUGUAAAAGUAAAAGAAGAAUUCUUUAUGUAAACAAUGUUCCACAAAACUGACUUGUUUGAG
RNAcentral lists this long non-coding RNA (321 nucleotides) under Capsella rubella. RNAcentral describes it as "long non-coding RNA (CRUB_LNC001682)". The record is from RNAcentral. Lineage: Eukaryota; Viridiplantae; Streptophyta; Magnoliopsida; Brassicales; Brassicaceae.